RNAcentral lists this ribosomal RNA (253 nucleotides) under uncultured bacterium. Its description in RNAcentral is "partial 16S ribosomal RNA". It matches the Rfam family "Bacterial small subunit ribosomal RNA", at positions 524 to 776 of the family's 1533-position model. The record is from RNAcentral.
UACGGGGGGGGCAAGCGUUGUUCGGAAUUACUGGGCGUAAAGCGCACGUAGGCGGAUUUGUAAGUCAGGGGUGAAAUCCCGAGGCUCAACCUCGGAACUGCCUUUGAUACUGCAAAUCUCGAGUCCGGAAGAGGUGAGUGGAAUUCCUAGUGUAGAGGUGAAAUUCGUAGAUAUUAGGAAGAACACCAGUGGCGAAGGCGGCUCACUGGUCCGGUACUGACGCUGAGGUGCGAAAGCGUGGGGAGCAAACAGG